GGAAUGUUAGUUAGCAUUCCUGGGAGAAGUGAGUCUCUAUGGCUUGCCCUUUUGAAACUGGUUUCCAAACAAAAUGCAUACUCAUGAAUAUUUAUUGAUCAUAAAAGUUUGGCAGAUUAGAGCAGAAGAAGGGUAGCAUGAGGAGUACCAACUCUUAAACCUGAGGACUCAUGUCUGCACUACACCUUAUACAACAGUGUCUGUGAAAUGGUUAAAGAGUAAAAACCCAAUCUGUUGCAGCCAGAAAGGAGUACUCCGCCUAUUACACAGCAAGGCCAAUAGAUUGCUUGUUAUUUUAAGUGUUAUUUAAAUUAUCUCCCUAGGGAAGAUAAUUUUCAGCUGCCUCUCCAUCUUCUUAAAGAAGAGCAGAAUUUAACACAUCUCGUUGCCAAUGCAUUGUGAAAAACAAAGACACUGAAGCAAUGGUCAGAAAGAAAAGGAAUAAAGACAAAGUCAAGGAAAGAGCUAUACAAGCACAGUUAGCAUAAGAUAGUUGUUCUCAAUGUAGGCUAUCCAGAACAGCACUGUCAACCUCACCGCGGAACUUGAAAGAAGUGCAAAUCCUUGAGACUGACUCCAAGUCUACUGAAUCAGAAAUUCUGGGGGUGGAGUCCAUCAAUCUUUGGUUGAACAAAACACAACCAAUCCCACAUUUAUGGAAGUUUCAUAUAUGAAGUCAUAAAAGUCACUAGAAAGGCAAGAAGAACCAGGGAGCUGACAUGUUCCUAGAUCCAGGAGCCACCCAGUGGAUUGACGAUUCUUAUCAUAAUAAGACUUCCUUGAACCAUCCCGCACCCAACCCUUUUCCAGAAAGAGUUGAAGACAAAUCUACAGUGAAUGGGAGGCUGAGGCCACCACACCACAGCUUCCAGUGCAAGUGUCCUUGUGCCCUGGUGCCUGAUAUCCAGCUCCGGCGGCCUAGAAAAUCAGUUAGGCUUUUCAGUCACAGCACCCCCUGUGACAAACGUGUGGAGCACCGCAUGACUUCUUCAACCAGCUGGUUUUUCUGGCAUUUGAAUAAAAGUAAAAAUAGAAAACAAAGAGGGAGAAGAAAAGUGACAAGCUGA
This is a long non-coding RNA of Pan paniscus (pygmy chimpanzee), 1067 nucleotides long. The record is from Ensembl. NCBI's taxonomy places the organism in Eukaryota, Metazoa, Chordata, Mammalia, Primates, Hominidae.